AAGGGAGACCUAAUUCAGGUAGGAGACGAAAAAAAAGUAGUCCCUACCAGGAAUCAAUCCCAAAAGGUCGGAGCGAGGCGAAAUUGGCUUUCAAACUAGGUUCUGGGUUCAAACAAGACCUGAAUCGGGAACAAGGGCUAUUAGCUCAGGUGGUUAGAGCGCACCCCUGAUAAGGGUGAGGUCCCUGGUUCGAGUCCAGGAUGGCCCACCUGCACAGGUGGCAAAAACAAGAGAAGCGAGGAAUCAGCACCUUAUCUUACUGACAUAGUAAGAGAGGAUGCUGGCUCUGAGUAAAGAGUCCAGAGGAACCUUGAAAACUGCAUAGAGCUAGGUGAAAAAGCCAAAAAAGAAGACCGCAA
This 359-nucleotide transfer RNA is filed under the name Microcystis sp. BG34. RNAcentral describes it as "16S-23S ribosomal RNA intergenic spacer". The stretch from base 135 to 208 matches the Rfam family "tRNA". The record is from RNAcentral. Lineage: Bacteria; Bacillati; Cyanobacteriota; Cyanophyceae; Chroococcales; Microcystaceae.